This is a long non-coding RNA of Gallus gallus (chicken), 330 nucleotides long. Lineage: Eukaryota; Metazoa; Chordata; Aves; Galliformes; Phasianidae. The record is from Ensembl.
CAACAAAGUAACUUGAUAUGCUGGUGAAUUAUGUCAAGCAGAUACGGAAAGGUGCUCAGGACUACCCAGAGCCUUCUCCAGGCUGAACAGCCUCAGCUCUCUCAGCCUUGUAGGAGAGGUGUUCCAUGACUUGGAUCAUUUCUGUCGCCCUGCUCUGGAUGUGCUCCAACAGGUUCAUGUCUCUCCUGUACUAAGAACUCCACAUCUGGAUUCAGCACUUCAUGCCACAGACUUCAUUCUUGACUUACUGAGUGCUGAUGUAAAGACUUGUCACAAAGUUAUCCAGAUCAGUGUGUGUCCGUGAUGGGGCAGCACUUGUGGGUCUUCCCC